GUCUACAGCCAUACCACCCUGAAUGCGCCCGAUCUCGUAUGAUCUCGGAAGCUAAGCAGGGUCGGGCCUGGUUAGUACUUGGAUGGGAGAAGCCUGAUAGGGCA
This 104-nucleotide ribosomal RNA is filed under the name Neogale vison (American mink). The record is from RNAcentral. Lineage: Eukaryota; Metazoa; Chordata; Mammalia; Carnivora; Mustelidae.